RNAcentral lists this transfer RNA (72 nucleotides) under Bos taurus (domestic cattle). It matches the Rfam family "tRNA". Rfam says of the family: Transfer RNA (tRNA) molecules are approximately 80 nucleotides in length. Their secondary structure includes four short double-helical elements and three loops (D, anti-codon, and T loops). Lineage: Eukaryota; Metazoa; Chordata; Mammalia; Artiodactyla; Bovidae. The record is from Rfam by way of RNAcentral. RNAcentral also lists the same sequence under 3 other names.
UCUCAGAUAGCUCAGUUGGUAAAGAAUCUGCCUGCGAUGCAGGAGACCCAAGUUCGAUUCCUGGGUAGGGAA